CAAUCAACCGCUAACUACUUCUACUCUUCUCCUCCACCUCCGGUUAAACACUACCAAUACAAAUCUCCACCUCCUCCUGUUAAGCAUUACUCUCCCCCUCCAGUUUACCAUUCUCCACCACCACCUAAAAAACACUACGAAUACAAAUCCCCUCCUCCUCCGGUCAAGCAUUAUUCUCCACCACCGGUUUAUCACUCUCCACCACCACCAAAAAAGCACUACGAGUACAAAUCCCCUCCUCCUCCGGUUAAGCACUACUCUCCACCACCGGUUUACCAUUCUCCACCACCACCAAAGAAGCACUAUGUGUACAAAUCCCCUCCUCCUCCGGUUAAACACUAUUCUCCUCCUCCUGUUUACCAUUCUCCACCACCACCCAAGAAGCACUAUGUGUACAAAUCUCCACCCCCACCUGUUAUGCACUACUCUCCCCCACCAGUCUACCAUUCACCACCACCACCCAAAAAACAUUACGUAUACAAAUCUCCUCCUCCUCCGGUUAAACACUACUCACCACCUCCAGUUUACCAUUCCCCACCCCCACCUAAAAAGCAUUAUGUCUACAAAUCUCCUCCACCACCGGUUAAACACUACUCUCCUCCCCCGGUUUACCACUCUCCACCACCACCAAAGAAACACUACGUGUACAAAUCACCUCCUCCUCCAGUUAAGCACUAUUCUCCACCUCCAGUUUACCACUCUCCACCACCACCAAAGAAACACUACGUGUACAAAUCCCCUCCUCCCCCGGUUAAGCACUACUCCCCUCCUCCAGUUUACCAUUCCCCACCCCCACCAAAGAAACACUACGUCUACAAAUCUCCUCCUCCUCCAGUGAAACACUACUCUCCCCCUCCGGUUUACCAUUCCCCACCACCACCAAAGAAACAUUACGUGUACAAAUCCCCUCCUCCUCCAGUUAAACACUAUUCCCCACCACCGGUUUACCAUUCUCCACCACCACCAAAGAAGCACUACGUCUACAAAUCCCCUCCUCCUCCGGUUAAGCACUACUCUCCUCCUCCGGUUUAUCAUUCCCCACCACCACCUAAGAAAAAGUACGUAUAUAAGUCACCUCCUCCUCCAGUCCACCACUACUCUCCCCCACACCAUCCUUACCUCUACAAAUCUCCUCCUCCUCCAUACCACUAUUAGAAUUCUCUGUCACGGUA
RNAcentral lists this long non-coding RNA (1172 nucleotides) under Brassica napus (rape). Its description in RNAcentral is "long non-coding RNA (BNAP_LNC025602)". The record is from RNAcentral. Lineage: Eukaryota; Viridiplantae; Streptophyta; Magnoliopsida; Brassicales; Brassicaceae.